RNAcentral lists this small RNA (125 nucleotides) under unclassified sequences. Its description in RNAcentral is "LOOT RNA". It matches the Rfam family "LOOT RNA". From Rfam's summary of the family: Latescibacteria, OD1/Parcubacteria, OP11, TM7. Lineage (Microgenomates, aka OP11) The record is from Rfam by way of RNAcentral.
UGCCUAAGUCUUAUAGAUUUCUAUAGGAUAUGGCAAAAGAAGCCCGUUCAGAGCAGUAAGCCUCUCAUCAGAGCACUCUGAACGGGUCAUGUCAGGAAACUGGCAUGGGUGGCCGCAAGGCCAUC